GCUCUUCUAGUAUAUUAAUUACAAUUGACUUCCACUCAUUAAAAUCUGGAGAAACCCCAGAGAAGAGCA
Molecule: transfer RNA, 69 nt
Filed under: Lophoceros camurus (red-billed dwarf hornbill)
Lineage: Eukaryota; Metazoa; Chordata; Aves; Bucerotiformes; Bucerotidae
Description: Tockus camurus (red-billed dwarf hornbill) tRNA-Gly
Source: RNAcentral